This 200-nucleotide ribosomal RNA is filed under the name uncultured bacterium. Its description in RNAcentral is "partial 16S ribosomal RNA". It matches the Rfam family "Bacterial small subunit ribosomal RNA", at positions 335 to 526 of the family's 1533-position model. The record is from RNAcentral.
AUUCCUACGGGAGGCAGCAGUGGGGAAUAUUGGACAAUGGGCGCAAGCCUGAUCCAGCCAUGCCGCGUGUGUGAAGAAGGCCUUCGGGUUGUAAAGCACUUUUGUUGGGAAAGAAAUCCUGUCGAUUAAUACUCGGCGGGGAUGACGGUACCCAAAGAAUAAGCACCGGCUAACUUCGUGCCAGCAGCCGCGGUAAUAAU